AGAAUCAACGCUGGCGGCGUGCCUAACACAUGCAAGUCGAACGCGAAAGGGGAGCAAUCCCUGAGUAGAGUGGCAAACGGGUGAGUAACACGUGGGUGACCUGCCUUCGAGCGGGGGAUAACGUCCCGAAAGGGACGCUAAUACCGCAUAACAUCCUGGUCUUGGACGACCGGUGAUCAAAGCUGGGGAUUCGCAAGAACCUGGCACUUGAAGAGGGGCCCGCGCCUGAUUAGCUAGUUGGUGAGGUAACGGCUCACCAAGGCUACGAUCAGUA
This 274-nucleotide ribosomal RNA is filed under the name uncultured bacterium. RNAcentral describes it as "partial small subunit ribosomal RNA". It matches the Rfam family "Bacterial small subunit ribosomal RNA", at positions 26 to 285 of the family's 1533-position model. The record is from RNAcentral.